This 191-nucleotide small RNA is filed under the name Pongo abelii (Sumatran orangutan). Its description in RNAcentral is "processed transcript". The record is from RNAcentral. Lineage: Eukaryota; Metazoa; Chordata; Mammalia; Primates; Hominidae.
AAAGCUUCAUGGAUAGAAAGAAGGGAUUUACAGAAGUUAAGUCGCAGAAUGGAGAAUUCAUGACUCACAAACUUAAACAUACUGAGAAUACUUUCAGCUUGAAAAUUAUUGUUCUGGAGGACACAGUAUAUUCAGAACUACUUCAGUGUUUAAAAAGCAUGAUAUAUAAUAUACAUAUAUAUUAUAAAAUC